CUACGUGCCAGCAGCCGCGGUAAUACGUAGGUCCCGAGCGUUGUCCGGAUUUAUUGGGCGUAAAGCGAGCGCAGGCGGUUAGAUAAGUCUGAAGUUAAAGGCUGUGGCUUAACCAUAGUACGCUUUGGAAACUGUUUAACUUGAGUGCAAGAGGGGAGAGUGGAAUUCCAUGUGUAGCGGUGAAAUGCGUAGAUAUAUGGAGGAACACCGGUGGCGAAAGCGGCUCUCUGGCUUGUAACUGACGCUGAGGCUCGGAAGCGUGGGGAGCGAACAGGAUUAGAUACCCUGGUAGUCCACGCCGUAAACGAUGAGUGCUAGGUGUUAGGUCCUUUCCGGGACUUAGUGCCGCAGCUAACGCAUUAAGCACUCCGCCUGGGGAGUACGACCGCAAGGUUGAAACUCAAAGGAAUUGACGGGGGCCCGCACAAGCGGUGGAGCAUGUGGUUUAAUUCGAAGCAACGCGAAGAACCUUACCAGGUCUUGACAUCCCGAUGCCCGCUCUAGAGAUAG
Molecule: ribosomal RNA, 510 nt
Filed under: uncultured bacterium
Lineage: Bacteria
Description: bacterial SSU rRNA
Rfam family: Bacterial small subunit ribosomal RNA
Source: RNAcentral